GCCCAGAUGGCGGAAUUGGUAGACGCGCUAGCUUCAGGUGCUAGUGUCUGUAUAGGCGUGGAGGUUCGAGUCCUCUUCUGGGCACCA
RNAcentral lists this transfer RNA (87 nucleotides) under Alphaproteobacteria bacterium. RNAcentral describes it as "tRNA-Leu". It matches the Rfam family "tRNA". From Rfam's summary of the family: Transfer RNA (tRNA) molecules are approximately 80 nucleotides in length. Their secondary structure includes four short double-helical elements and three loops (D, anti-codon, and T loops). Further hydrogen bonds mediate the characteristic L-shaped molecular structure. tRNAs have two regions of fundamental functional importance: the anti-codon, which is responsible for specific mRNA codon recognition, and the 3' end, to which the tRNAs corresponding amino acid is attached (by aminoacyl-tRNA synthetases). tRNAs cope with the degeneracy of the genetic code in two manners: having more than one tRNA (with a specific anti-codon) for a particular amino acid; and 'wobble' base-pairing, i.e. permitting non-standard base-pairing at the 3rd anti-codon position. Lineage: Bacteria; Pseudomonadati; Pseudomonadota; Alphaproteobacteria. The record is from RNAcentral. RNAcentral also lists the same sequence under 3 other names.